This 292-nucleotide ribosomal RNA is filed under the name uncultured bacterium. RNAcentral describes it as "partial 16S ribosomal RNA". It matches the Rfam family "Bacterial small subunit ribosomal RNA", at positions 505 to 796 of the family's 1533-position model. The record is from RNAcentral.
GUGCCAGCCGCCGCGGUAAGACGAACCGUGCGAACGUUAUUCGGAAUCACUGGGCUUAAAGGGCGCGUAGGCGGGCCGAAAAGUCAGGGGUGAAAUCCUCCAGCCCAACUGGAGAAGCGCCUUUGGUACUGUCGGCCUCGAGGGGUGCAGGGGCAUGCGGAACUCAGGGUGGAGCGGUGAAAUGCGUAGAUAUCCUGAGGAACACCGGUGGCGAAAGCGGCGUGCUGGACACCUUCUGACGCUGAGGCGCGAAAGCCAGGGGAGCGAACGGGAUUAGAAACCCCAGUAGUCC